This 427-nucleotide ribosomal RNA is filed under the name uncultured bacterium. RNAcentral's name for it is "bacterial SSU rRNA". It matches the Rfam family "Bacterial small subunit ribosomal RNA", at positions 355 to 775 of the family's 1533-position model. The record is from RNAcentral.
UCGAGAAUUUUUCUCAAUGGGCGAAAGCCUGAAGGAGCGACGCCGCGUGGGGGAUGAAUGGCUUCGGCCCGUAAACCCCUGUCAUUUGCGAACAAACUUUUCCAUCUAAUAAGUGGAAAAUUGAUAGUAGCGGAAGAGGAAGGGACGGCUAACUCUGUGCCAGCAGCCGCGGUAAUACAGAGGUCCCAAGCGUUGUUCGGAUUCACUGGGCGUAAAGGGUGCGCAGGUGGUGAGGCAAGUUCGGUGUGAAAGCUCCAGGCUCAACCUGGAAAUGGCACUGAAAACUGCUUUGCUUGAGGUUUGGAGGGGGGACUGGAAUUCUCGGUGGAGCAGUGAAAUGCGUAGAUAUCGAGAGGAACACCAGUGGCGAAGGCGAGUCCCUGGACAACACCUGACACUGAGGCACGAAAGCCGGGGGAGCAAACAG